GCAAAGUUGAAAACUAGUCCAAAGAGACUUCAGAGUGAUCGCCACAGUGAUUCCAUUGUAGAAACAACAAGCAUCAACAGUUACAAAAGUAUAAAUUCAUAAAACGAAAUAAAGGCAAUCUUGGACCGGUGGGUCUUUUUAAAGGUAUCAAAAGUGUUCAUAGAUGUUGAAUCUGAUACGUCACGGAAGUGGGGAGGACUCAGGUGCAGACCGGGUUUCUCAGUUCAGUACAGGUUUUAGUUACAACAGGUGUAAUAUAUAUACAUGGUGGGGGGAAAUCCAAAGAUCCAAAAGGGAAAUCUGGGAAAAGGGAAGGCUCUCUCAUACUCGGCUCCACUUCACAAUUCCACACACCAAUUCACUCAUUCACGAACUUGGGAACGCGCAGUUUUCUGUUGUCUUUAGCUUAGACGUGGCCUGAUCUGCAGGUAAUAAAAAACAACUCUGUACGAGAUAGCCAGUAUACUUAUCAAAACUGAAUGCACCCAAUUUUCUCACUGUGGAGAGAACUGAAGAUGAAAUGGGUCCAAGACUUUCAAUUACCAGGACAGAUGAAUUGCCUAUACUCUGAGAGAAAUGUACAUUUGAGUAUUAUCUGUUAGAGAGAGUUAAAACCUCUGUAAUCACGCUUCUUUAAAUUUUAAGAAAUCAAAGGCAAUCAAGUUUGAAAUUGGUCUAAAAUUCUGAGGGAGGGAAAAUUUGGCUUUUUUUUUUUCUUUUUUUUUUUUUACAAGAGGUUGGCAAACUAACUGCCUGUUUAAAAUAGGAAGGGACAAAAGCCAGAAGUUCAAGACUUAUUCUUUACAGCCCAGUAGUGCAAAUGAUCUUUUUGAACAGUGAGGUUGGUAAAAUGUUGAAAACAAUGCUACCAUGCAAGCCUGACUGCUUAUCACUGCAUAUACUUUUGAACAUCUAAAAUGAAGAUAACACUGUAAAUAUUGUUGUUUUUUUUACCUUUAUGCUUUGUGUGAACUAAAGUGUGUUGCUUAUGAAAUCCAUGAAGUGCUACAGAGAAAAUUACAUUUUAUUUAUGUAAUUAACACAUUUUGAACUCUUAAAGAAAUAUAACAAAAGGAAAGACACCCAGCUGAACUAAAAUGAUCCAGCAAACAAAAACUGUUGUGAGCCGCCACCCUUAUAUCGCCUUAUAUCGGGCUUUUGGAGCCUUGAUCGGACUUUUAAAAAACAACUGGAUAAAAAAGCACUAUGCUGCUAAAAAAUGAAAAAUGGAUAUUUGCAAAAUUCUGCCUAAAUAUGUAUUUUACCUGGUUAAUGUGUGUGGCGGGGCGUGGUCUGCAGUGCCGCUGUAUGGGAGUCGGACGCACCUGAGCGGCACCCGCAAUCACACCUCGCCGCCUUAAAGUCUGUGCUCUCUCUGCUGUUGU
Long non-coding RNA from Astatotilapia calliptera (eastern happy), 1385 nucleotides. Lineage: Eukaryota; Metazoa; Chordata; Actinopteri; Cichliformes; Cichlidae. The record is from Ensembl.